RNAcentral lists this ribosomal RNA (256 nucleotides) under uncultured bacterium. RNAcentral's name for it is "partial 16S ribosomal RNA". It matches the Rfam family "Bacterial small subunit ribosomal RNA", at positions 524 to 777 of the family's 1533-position model. The record is from RNAcentral.
UACAGAGGAUGCAAGCGUUAUCCGGAAUGAUUGGGCGUAAAGCGUCUGUAGGUGGCUUUUUAAGUCCGCCGUCAAAUCCCCAGGGCUCAACUCUGGACAGGCGGUGGAAACUACCAAGCUGGAGUACGGUAGGGGCAGAGGGAAUUUCCGGUGGAGCGGUGAAAUGCGUAGAUAUCUGGAGGAACACCGGUGGCGAAGGCGGCAUCCUGGACCAAUUCUGACGCUGAGGAGCGAAAAGCCAGGGGAGCAAAACGGG